CCGACUGUCUAAUUAAAACAAAGCAUUGUGAUGGCCCUAGCGGGUGUUGACACAAUGUGAUUUCUGCCCAGUGCUCUGAAUGUCAAAGUGAAGAAAUUCAAGUAAGCGCAGGUAGCCAAAUGCCUCGUCAUCUAAUUAGUGACGCGCAUGAAUGGAUUAACGAGAUUCCUACUGUCCCUAUCUACUAUCUAGCGAAACCACAGCCAAGGGAACGGGCUUGGAAUAAUUAGCGGGGAAAGAAGACCCUUUUGAGCUUGACUCUAAUCUGGCAGUGUAAGGAGACAUAAGAGGUGUAGAAUAAGUGGGAGAUAUUAGACCUCGGUUUGGUAUCGUCAAUGAAAUACCACUACUCUUAUUGUUUCCUUACUUACUUGAUUAAAUGGAACGUGUAUCAUUUCCUAGCCAUUAUACGGAUAUAUUUAUUAUAUCUUAUGGUAUUGGGUUUUGAUGCAAGCUUCUUGAUCAAAGUAUCACGAGUUUGUUAUAUAAUCGCAAACAAAUUCUUUAAUAAAACGAUGCAUUUAUGUAUUUUUGAUUUGAAAAUUUGGUAUAACUCCAAUUACUCAGGUAUGAUCCAAUUCAAGGACAUUGCCAGGUAGGGAGUUUGACUGGGGCGGUACAUCUCUCAAAUAAUAACGGAGGUGUCCCAAGGCCAGCUCAGUGCGGACAGAAACCACACAUAGAGCAAAAGGGCAAAUGCUGACUUGAUCUCGGUGUUCAGUACACACAGGGACAGCAAAAGCUCGGCCUAUCGAUCCUUUUGGUUUAAAGAGUUUUUAACAAGAGGUGUCAGAAAAGUUACCAUAGGGAUAACUGGCUUGUGGCGGCCAAGCGUUCAUAGCGACGUCGCUUUUUGAUCCUUUCGAUGUCGGCUCUUCCUAUCAUUGUGAAGCAAAAUUCACCAAGCGUUGGAUUGUUCACCCAUGCAAGGGAACGUGAGCUGGGUUUAGACCGUCGUGAGACAGGUUAGUUUUACCCUACUAAUGACAAAACGUUGUUGCGACAGCAUUCCUGCGUAGUACGAGAGGAACCGCAGGUACGGACCAAUGGCACAAUACUUGUUCGAGCGAACAGUGGUAUGACGCUACGUCCGUUGGAUUAUGCCUGAACGCCUCUAAGGUCGUAUCCGUGCUGGACUGCAAUGAUAAAUAAGGGGCAAUUUGCAUUGUAUGGCUUCUAAACCAUUUAAAGUUUAUAAUUUAUUUUAUAAACGACAAUGGAUGUGAUGCCAAUGUAAUUUGUAACAUAGUAAAUUAGGAGGAUCUUCGAUCACCUGAUGCCGCGCUAGUUACAUAUAAAAGCAUUAUUUAAUACAAUGACAAAGCCUAGAAUCAAUUGUAAACGACUUUUGUAACAGGCAAGGUGUUGUAAGUGGUUGAGCAGCUGCCAUACUGCGAUCCACUGAAGCUUAUCCUUUGCUUGAUGAUUCGA
RNAcentral lists this non-coding RNA (1431 nucleotides) under Drosophila sechellia. Its description in RNAcentral is "Eukaryotic large subunit ribosomal RNA". It matches the Rfam family "Eukaryotic large subunit ribosomal RNA", at positions 2134 to 3401 of the family's 3401-position model. The record is from Rfam by way of RNAcentral. Lineage: Eukaryota; Metazoa; Arthropoda; Insecta; Diptera; Drosophilidae.